Molecule: microRNA precursor, 92 nt
Filed under: Theobroma cacao (cacao)
Lineage: Eukaryota; Viridiplantae; Streptophyta; Magnoliopsida; Malvales; Malvaceae
Description: pre miRNA MIR164
Source: RNAcentral
GGGUCCAAGCUGGAGAGCCAGGGCACAUGCAAAAUUUCUCAGAUUUUUGUCUGAUUGCUUUAGCAUGUGCCCUGCUUCUCCAGCAUGGCUUA